Molecule: ribosomal RNA, 254 nt
Filed under: uncultured bacterium
Lineage: Bacteria
Description: partial 16S ribosomal RNA
Rfam family: Bacterial small subunit ribosomal RNA
Source: RNAcentral
UACGUAGGCAGCGAGCGUUGUUCGGAGUUACUGGGCGUAAAGGGUGUGUAGGCGGUUCUUUAAGUUUGGUGUGAAAUCUCCCGGCUCAACCGGGAGGGUGCGCCGAAUACUGAGGGACUUCGAGUGCGGGAGAGGAAAGUGGAAUUCCUGGUGUAGCGGUGGAAUGCGCAGAUAUCAGGAAGAACACCCGUGGCGAAGGCGGCUCUCUGGAACGCAACUGACGCUGAGACGCGAAAGCGUGGGGAGCAAACAGG